This 254-nucleotide ribosomal RNA is filed under the name uncultured bacterium. RNAcentral describes it as "partial 16S ribosomal RNA". It matches the Rfam family "Bacterial small subunit ribosomal RNA", at positions 524 to 776 of the family's 1533-position model. The record is from RNAcentral.
GACGUAGGGGGCGAGCGUUAUCCGGAUUCACUGGGCGUAAAGGGCGCGCAGGCGGCUACGUAAGUCCGGCGUGAAAUCCCAUGGCUUAACUGUGGAACUGCGUCGGAUACUGCGUUGGCUUGAGGAUGGUAGAGGCCAUUAGAACUAGCGGUGUAGCGGUGAAAUGCGCAGAUAUCGCUAGGAAUGCCGGUGGCGAAGGCGGAUGGCUGGGCCACUCCUGACGCUCAGGCGCGAAAGCUAGGGGAGCAAACGGG